This 1573-nucleotide long non-coding RNA is filed under the name Cricetulus griseus (Chinese hamster). RNAcentral's name for it is "lncRNA (ENSCGRG00015041372.1)". Lineage: Eukaryota; Metazoa; Chordata; Mammalia; Rodentia; Cricetidae. The record is from RNAcentral.
GAGAAAAGGCCUUGAGGGGAAAGAGAGUGGGAAGGGAGUAUCCAGGGUGCCCAGCAACAGGUCCCGCUCUUCGUGUUUCUUGAAGGUCGGCAUGAGGUCUCCCUAGACUCUGGGAAGAGCCGGCGUUCAGGUCCUGAGGAAUUAAUGCCUCUGUAGAUCAGAACCUCUGUCUGGCACAAUCUCCAGCUCUGGCUCUGGCCUCUUGUGACGAGGGAGACGCUUGACCACGCAGGAUGCAGACUCAGCACUUUCAGAGGCUUUCAUCCAGUCCCGAGUUACACGUCAUGCUCACCUCCAUUUUCCCGGACUGCAGUUCUUGGAGAAGGAAAAGAAUAACCUGACUGGCCAGGAUAUGGACUUCAACUGCAGCUUGUUUAAAUCAACAACAAAUACUCAACCAACUUGGGAAGCAGAGGCAAGAAGAUCUCUGAGUUCAAGGCCAGCCUGGCCUACAAGGCCAGUUCCAAGAUAGCCAGGGCUACAGAGGAAACCCUGUCUCCAAAAACAAAAAACAUCCCAAAACUGUAAUUUUUUGAGGUAGGGUUUCAUGUAGCCUAGGCUGACCUCUAGCUCUCCAUCUCCCCUACUCCGCCCCCAAACACAAAACAGGGUUUCUUUGCAUAGCCCAGGCUGUCCUGGAACUCUGCAGAGGGUGGCCUUGAACUGUCUGUGCUGGGAUUAAAGCUAAUGCUAACCUCCAGCUUUUUAGUAUUUUAUUUUUAAUUAUGUAUUACGUAAGUUCAAGUACUCUCAGGGGCCAGAAGAGGAUGUGGGAUACCCUAGACCUGGAGGUAGAGUUGUGAGCUACCCGACCUGGAUGCUGGGAACCAAACCUGAAAUCACAAAGGUCAAAAAGUGCUUUUUUAAGCCCCGAUCUAGCCCUUUUGCUUCCCUGGCCUCAAACUUCUGUGUUUUUUUUUGUUUGUUUGUUUUUUUUUUUUUUUUUUUUUGAAACAGGGUUCUUCUGUAGCUUUGGAGCCUAUCCUGUCCUAGAACUUACUCUGUAUACCAAGCUCAAACUCAAGAGAUCUGCCUGCCUCUGCCUCCCGAGUGCUGGGAUUACAGGCAUGAGCCACCACUGCCUAGCUCAAGCUCUUUAUUCUCCUCCCUCUAACACACACUCAGCUGUGGCUUCAUUUGCUCAGACCACUGUUUUCUUGUUGCAAAUGCAUUAGGAUUUUUCAAGACAGGGUUUUCUCUGUGGCUUUGGAGGCUGUCCUGGAACUGCCUCUUAUAGACCAGGCUGGUCUGGAACUCACAGAGAUCCGCCUGCCUCUGCCUCCCGAGUGCUGGGAUUAAAGGCGAGUGCCACCACCGCCCAACAGGAUUUUUCUUUUUAAUCCCCUCUUGAAAGCGAGAGCCAUAUUACAUUUUUCUUUUAAAGCUAGGGUUAGAGGUCAGUAGUAGAACAUGUGCCUAACAUGUGCUUUGGGUUCAAUUCCCCAACAUAAUAUCAUAGCAAGGAAAUUAAUUGUAUGGAAAAUAAAAUCCAACAUGGUGGCGGGGUAGAAUUAAAACAAGCCCAACCCAACCCAACCCAACCCCACCUCCCUCUUAUACUGGUGGUGGAAUA